Non-coding RNA from Canis lupus familiaris (dog), 108 nucleotides. Lineage: Eukaryota; Metazoa; Chordata; Mammalia; Carnivora; Canidae. The record is from Rfam.
AGGAGGAACAACCCCACUGGCGGCGGCCAGCUCUCCAGGCCUGGAGUCAGCUCUCGCAGUAACUCCUGCAGCUCCCAGUCCGCAGGGGCCUGGUUUCUCCGGGCGGGG